AUGCCUCAACUUGAUAAAUUAACUUAUUUCUCACAAUUUUUCUGGUUAUGUCUUCUCCUCUUUACUUUUUAUAUUCUCUUAUUUAAUAAUAAUAAUGCAAUACUUGGCAUUAGUAGAAUUCUCAAACUACGAAACCAACUGCUUUCGCGCCGGGGGGGCGAGAUCCAGAGCAAGGACCCUAAGAAUCUGGAAGAUAUCUCGAGAAAAGGUUUUAGCACCGGUCUCUCAUAUAUGUACUCCAGUUUAUCUGAAGUAUCCCAAUGGUGUAAGACCGUCGACUAUUUGGGAAAAAGGAGGAAAAUCACUCUGAUCUCUGAUGUCGGAGAAAUAAGUGGCUCACGAGGAAUGGAGAGACAGAUUCUCUAUUUGAUCUCGAAGUCCUCAUAUAACACUUCUUCCAGUCGGAUCACUUGUUGGAAAAUAAUGCUCACACAUGUUCCACACGGGCAAGGAAGCAUAGUAUUAUGA
RNAcentral lists this ribosomal RNA (468 nucleotides) under Triticum aestivum (bread wheat). RNAcentral's name for it is "partial small subunit ribosomal RNA". The record is from RNAcentral. Lineage: Eukaryota; Viridiplantae; Streptophyta; Magnoliopsida; Poales; Poaceae.